RNAcentral lists this transfer RNA (69 nucleotides) under Cheirogaleus crossleyi (Crossley's dwarf lemur). RNAcentral describes it as "tRNA-Glu". It matches the Rfam family "tRNA". From Rfam's summary of the family: Transfer RNA (tRNA) molecules are approximately 80 nucleotides in length. The record is from RNAcentral. Lineage: Eukaryota; Metazoa; Chordata; Mammalia; Primates; Cheirogaleidae.
GUUUUUAUAGUUGAAGUACAACGAUGGUUUUUCAUACCAUGGGUCUUGGUUUAAAUCCAUGUAAGAACU